This 269-nucleotide ribosomal RNA is filed under the name uncultured prokaryote. RNAcentral describes it as "partial 16S ribosomal RNA". It matches the Rfam family "Bacterial small subunit ribosomal RNA", at positions 524 to 792 of the family's 1533-position model. The record is from RNAcentral.
UACGGAGGGUGCAAACGUUGCUCGGAAUUAUUGGGCGUAAAGCGCGUGUAGGCGGCCAUAUAAGUCGAGUGUGAAAGCCCUGGGCUCAACCUAGGAAGCGCGCUCGAUACUGCAUGGCUAGAGUACGGGAGAGGGUAGCGGAAUUCCCGGUGUAGAGGUGAAAUUCGUAGAUAUCGGGAGGAACACCAGUGGCGAAGGCGGCUACCUGGACCGAUACUGACGCUGAGACGCGAAAGCGUGGGGAGCAAACAGGAUUAGAUACCCCCGUA